UGGGGAAUAUUGGACAAUGGGCGAAAGCCUGAUCCAGCAACGCCGCGUGGAGGAUGAAGGCCCUCGGGUCGUAAACUCCUGUCAGGCGGGACGAAAGAGCCAAGGCAAAUAGUCUUGGCUUCUGACGGUACCGUCGGAGGAAGCCCCGGCUAACUCCGUGCCAGCAGCCGCGGUAAUACGGAGGGGGCAAGCGUUAUUCGGAAUUAUUGGGCGUAAAGGGCGCGUAGGCGGCUUGAUAAGUCAAAGGUGAAAGCCCUCGGCUCAACCGAGGAACUGCCCUUGAUACUGUCUCGCUCGAGGCCGGGAGAGGGUGGUGGAAUUCCCAGUGUAGCGGUGAAAUGCGUAGAUAUUGGGAGGAACACCCGUGGCGAAGGCGGCCACCUGGACCGGUUCUGACGCUGAGGAGCGAAAGCGUGGGGAGCGAACAGGAUUAGAUACCCUGGUAGUCCACGCCGUAAACGUUGGGCACUAGGUGUGGCGGAUUCAUUAACGUCUGCCGUACCGUAGCUAACGCAUUAAGUGCCCCGCCUGGGGAGUACGGCCGCAAGGCUA
This 552-nucleotide ribosomal RNA is filed under the name uncultured bacterium. RNAcentral's name for it is "bacterial SSU rRNA". It matches the Rfam family "Bacterial small subunit ribosomal RNA", at positions 355 to 896 of the family's 1533-position model. The record is from RNAcentral.